GAGAGAUAUGCACAGCUGCUUGCUCCCCCAGUAGGGAAGAGGAAGAGGAAGAGUAAAGAAUACGAAGAGUGUUCAGUGCCAUAAUGAGGAAAGAAAAAAAAAAACAUUUGGACAUUUAAGUAGGUAGAUGUCUUCAAGGUUCUUCUAUUCACUCUACAG
Molecule: long non-coding RNA, 159 nt
Organism: Mauremys reevesii (Reeves's turtle)
Lineage: Eukaryota; Metazoa; Chordata; Testudines; Geoemydidae
Exons: 3
Source: RefSeq, a predicted model, not a curated record